This 877-nucleotide ribosomal RNA is filed under the name uncultured eukaryote. Its description in RNAcentral is "SSU rRNA". It matches the Rfam family "Eukaryotic small subunit ribosomal RNA", at positions 636 to 1469 of the family's 1831-position model. The record is from RNAcentral.
CGGUGUUCAACUGGCGUGUCCGCGGGACGUCCUGCCGGUGGGCUUAGCCCGCAAGGGCGGCCCAACUUCAAAUCCCAUCGCGGUGCUCUUCACUGAGUGUCGAGGUGGGCCGGCACGUUUACUUUGAACAAAUUAGAGUGCUUAAAGCAGGCUAAAACUUCGCCUGAAUACUGUGUGCAUGGAAUAAUGGAAUAGGACCUCGGUUCUAUUUUGUUGGUUUUCGGAACCCCGAGGUAAUGAUUAAUAGGAACGGAUGGGGGCAUUCGUAUUGCGACGUUAGAGGUGAAAUUCUUGGAUCGUCGCAAGACGGACAGAAGCGAAAGCAUUUGCCAAAAACGCUUUCAUUGAUCAAGAACGAAAGUUAGAGGUUCGAAGGCGAUCAGAUACCGCCCUAGUUCUAACCAUAAACGAUGCCAGCUAGCGAUCCGUCGACGUUCCUCCGAUGACUCGACGGGCAGCUUCCGGGAAACCAAAGCUUUUGGGUUCCGGGGGAAGUAUGGUUGCAAAGCUGAAACUUAAAGGAAUUGACGGAAGGGCACCACCAGGAGUGGAGCCUGCGGCUUAAUUUGACUCAACACGGGAAACCUCACCAGGCCCGGACACCGGAAGGAUUGACAGAUUGAGAGCUCUUUCUUGAUUCGGUGGGUGGUGGUGCACGGCCGUUCUUAGUUGGUGGAGCGAUUUGUCUGGUUAAUUCCGAUAACGAACGAGACUCUAGCCUGCUAACUAGGCGUAUUUUCGACAUCUCAAAGGUCCGUCGUCCCGGCCCUCGGGUCGUGGGCGUGCGCGAUUUUUACUGUCGGCGUACUAUCAAUUCUUCUUAGAGGGACAGGUGGCUUCUAGCCGCACGAGAUUGAGCAAUAACAGGUCUGUGAUG